Molecule: ribosomal RNA, 1396 nt
Filed under: metagenome
Description: bacterial LSU rRNA
Rfam family: Bacterial large subunit ribosomal RNA
Source: RNAcentral
CCUGAGCCAGGAUCAAACUCUACCGUACGUAUAGAACACGAAGUGGUUGAUGCCAUGCUUCCAAGAAAAGCUUCUAAGCUUCAGGUAACCAGGAACCGUACCCCAAACCGACACAGGUGGUUGGGUAGAGAAUACCAGGGCGCUUGAGAGAACUCGGGUGAAGGAACUAGGCAAAAUGGCACCGUAACUUCGGGAGAAGGUGCGCCGGUGAGGGUGAAGCAUUUACUGCGUAAGCCCAUGCCGGUCGAAGAUACCAGGCCGCUGCGACUGUUUAUUAAAAACACAGCACUCUGCAAACACGAAAGUGGACGUAUAGGGUGUGACGCCUGCCCGGUGCCGGAAGGUUAAUUGAUGGGGUUAGCUAACGCGAAGCUCUUGAUCGAAGCCCCGGUAAACGGCGGCCGUAACGAUAACGGUCCUAAGGUAGCGAAAUUCCUUGUCGGGUAAGUUCCGACCUGCACGAAUGGCGUAACGAUGGCGGCGCUGUCUCCACCCGAGACUCAGUGAAAUUGAAAUCGCUGUGAAGAUGCAGUGUAUCCGCGGCUAGACGGAAAGACCCCGUGAACCUUUACUAUAGCUUUGCACUGGACUUUGAAUUUGCUUGUGUAGGAUAGGUGGGAGGCUUUGAAGCGUGGACGCCAGUUCGCGUGGAGCCAACCUUGAAAUACCACCCUGGCAACUUUGAGGUUCUAACUCAGGUCCGUUAUCCGGAUCGAGGACAGUGUAUGGUGGGUAGUUUGACUGGGGCGGUCUCCUCCUAAAGAGUAACGGAGGAGUACGAAGGUGCGCUCAGACCGGUCGGAAAUCGGUCGUAGAGUAUAAAGGCAAAAGCGCGCUUGACUGCGAGACAGACACGUCGAGCAGGUACGAAAGUAGGUCUUAGUGAUCCGGUGGUUCUGUAUGGAAGGGCCAUCGCUCAACGGAUAAAAGGUACUCCGGGGAUAACAGGCUGAUACCGCCCAAGAGUUCAUAUCGACGGCGGUGUUUGGCACCUCGAUGUCGGCUCAUCACAUCCUGGGGCUGAAGCCGGUCCCAAGGGUAUGGCUGUUCGCCAUUUAAAGUGGUACGCGAGCUGGGUUUAGAACGUCGUGAGACAGUUCGGUCCCUAUCUGCCGUGGACGUUUGAGAUUUGAGAGGGGCUGCUCCUAGUACGAGAGGACCGGAGUGGACGAACCUCUGGUGUUCCGGUUGUCACGCCAGUGGCAUUGCCGGGUAGCUAUGUUCGGAAUAGAUAACCGCUGAAAGCAUCUAAGCGGGAAACUAGCCUCAAGAUGAGAUCUCACUGGGACCUUGAGUCCCCUGAAGGGCCGUCGAAGACUACGACGUUGAUAGGUUGGGUGUGUAAGCGCUGUGAGGCGUUGAGCUAACCAAUACUAAUUGCCCGUGAGGCUUGAUC